CAAAUGACUCUCAGCAACGGAUAUCUUG
This 28-nucleotide ribosomal RNA is filed under the name Leptolejeunea epiphylla. Its description in RNAcentral is "partial 5.8S ribosomal RNA". Lineage: Eukaryota; Viridiplantae; Streptophyta; Jungermanniopsida; Porellales; Lejeuneaceae. The record is from RNAcentral.